GAUGAACGCUGGCGGCGUGCCUAAUACAUGCAAGUCGAGCGAACGGACGAGAAGCUUGCUUCUCUGAUGUUAGCGGCGGACGGGUGAGUAACACGUGGAUAACCUACCUAUAAGACUGGGAUAACUUCGGGAAACCGGAGCUAAUACCGGAUAAUAUUUUGAACCGCAUGGUUCAAAAGUGAAAGACGGUCUUGCUGUCACUUAUAGAUGGAUCCGCGCUGCAUUAGCUAGUUGGUAAGGUAACGGCUUACCAAGGCAACGAUGCAUAGCCGACCUGAGAGGGUGAUCGGCCACACUGGAACUGAGACACGGUCCAGACUCCUACGGGAGGCAGCAGUAGGGAAUCUUCCGCAAUGGGCGAAAGCCUGACGGAGCAACGCCGCGUGAGUGAUGAAGUUCUUCGGAUCGUAAAACUCUGUUAUUAGGGAAGAACAUAUGUGUAAGUAACUGUGCACAUCUUGACGGUACCUAAUCAGAAAGCCACGGCUAACUACGUG
RNAcentral lists this ribosomal RNA (497 nucleotides) under uncultured bacterium. RNAcentral's name for it is "partial 16S ribosomal RNA". It matches the Rfam family "Bacterial small subunit ribosomal RNA", at positions 28 to 507 of the family's 1533-position model. The record is from RNAcentral.